Molecule: ribosomal RNA, 1357 nt
Filed under: Panulirus argus (Caribbean spiny lobster)
Lineage: Eukaryota; Metazoa; Arthropoda; Malacostraca; Decapoda; Palinuridae
Description: 16S ribosomal RNA
Rfam family: Archaeal large subunit ribosomal RNA (bases 653-1357)
Source: RNAcentral
AUGGAUGUAUGUCUAUAGGUUUAUGUCUGAUGAGAGAGUUCAAUAAGAAAAAUAUUUUUUGAAUUAGAUAUUUUUUAGUAUGCAAAGAAAAAGGAUUCAUAAGACUUUAGUUUAAAAGUACCGUGAGGGAAAACUGAAAUAAUUAUGAAAAUUUAAUUGAUUUAAAGGAGACGUGGAGGUCCGUACCUUUUGUAUCAGGGAAAAUUAAAAUUUAUUAGGUAGUCUAAGAUUCCCGAAAGAAGAAUAGCUAAAAAUUUAUGGAUGUCUCAGUAGAAAAUGAGUUUACAAUAGGUUUUUAGUGGUGAAAUGUCAGUCGGGUCUUCUGAUAUCUGGUUGUUUUGGAAGUAAAUUUAAUUUAGACUAAAUUAGAUGUUAUAUUGAUUUAGUUUAAUGGCUGGAGGGAAAAGCUUCUAGUUAGGAUUUUGAUAUGGGUGUGAUUAUGUUAGGAAUAAAAGUAGCCCAAUUAGGCUCAGAAGUAGCCAUAUUAGUAAAGUGUUUUAACUAAGAUUUUUUUUUGAUAAAAAAUUUUUAUGGCCCCUUAUCUUAAGUUACAAAACUUUGCCCGUAAACUUAAAUUGUUCAGGAGUAAUGAUUUUAUUAGUAUAAUAAUUCUCAGUGUUGAGGAGUGUUUUGGAGUAAAUUAUAUUUUUUGUAGGAUGAUGAGUGGUAUAGUAAAGGAACUCGGCAAAAAAGAUUUCUGCCUGUUUAUCAAAAACAUGUCUUUAUGAAUUUUAUGUAAAGUCUAGCCUGCCCAGUGAUAAUUGAAUUUAACGGCCGCGGUAGCAUGACCGUGCUAAGGUAGCAUAAUCAUUUGUCCUUUAAUUGAGGACUGGUAUAAACGGCUGCACAAGAAAUUGUCUGUCUCUGCUAUAAAAUUUGAAAUUCACAUUUAAGUGAAAAGGCUUAAAUGGAAUAGGGGGACGAUAAGACCCUAUAAAUCUUUACAAUUAGGGCUUUAGUUAUUAGAAAGUAGUUAUGGAUCUAAAUCUAAGGUUUAAAUUGUUUUGUUGGGGCGACAGAAGUAUAAUAAGUAACUGCUUUGGUUUUCAUAUUAAUUGUUUUUAUUAUGGUUAGUUUAAAAGAUCCUCUUUUGGAGAUCACAGACUAAGUUACUUUAGGGAUAACAGCGUAAUCUUUCUUGAGAGUUCAUAUCGAAAGAAGGGUUUGCGACCUCGAUGUUGAAUUAAAGAACCUUUAUGGUGUAGCCGCUAUAAGAGGAGGUCUGUUCGACCUUUAAAUCUUUACAUGAUUUGAGUUCAGACCGGCGUGAGCCAGGUCGGUUUCUAUCUCCUAUUUAUAAAUUGGCUCUUUUAGUACGAAAGGAUCAAGGAGCUGAAAUAAUUUUGGGUUGUUUAAU